RNAcentral lists this long non-coding RNA (396 nucleotides) under Medicago truncatula (barrel medic). RNAcentral's name for it is "long non-coding RNA (MTRU_LNC006000)". The record is from RNAcentral. Lineage: Eukaryota; Viridiplantae; Streptophyta; Magnoliopsida; Fabales; Fabaceae.
GUUCACCAAGUCAUUACCUAAAUCAAGAUUCAAGCAUUGCUUGGACUUGAUCAAGUUCGUCGAAGAGUAAUUCCCUUUUGGAGAGAGCAGCAUGGUGGUUGAUGGUUAAACUGACAUCACCACCAAAUUAGAAGUCAAGGUGGAGAAAUGUUGAUAUUGGCUUCAAAUUUGUGGUCUGGAAGAACAGAGAAAUCGUGACACGAUUUCAAGGUGCCGUGAGCUAGUUUGCAGGACGCCAAAUCGUGGCACGAUCUUGGGAAAUCGUGACACGAUUCAGAAACUUGCUCGUUAAGUAUCACUAAUAAGGACUUGUCAACCUUGGGUCAGAUGCAAAUCGUGACACGAUUGUGGGAAAUCGUGGCACAAUUUCUUCAGAGGAAGACUAGUAUAUAUUGU